Long non-coding RNA from Nilaparvata lugens (brown planthopper), 1224 nucleotides. RefSeq lists it as uncharacterized. The transcript has 2 exons. The record is from RefSeq and is a predicted model, not a curated record. Lineage: Eukaryota; Metazoa; Arthropoda; Insecta; Hemiptera; Delphacidae.
GAAAAAUCUUCUUUUCAAAAAAGACUUCUCUGAUUGGAUCUCAUAUUUAAUCAUAAUUAAAAUGUAACAGGCUUUUGUGCAACCGGGCCUUAGAGUAAUUGAUAUAGAUAUACAUCUAGAAGAAGCGAGCUGACAUUUAUAGUGAGGUAGUGGCUAUAAUGACAUUGGUAUACCAUACUAUACCAUAGGUGCUAUCUUUUCUCUAUGGUAGUACAUAGAAGGUAGAGGAAACGGGAAAAACCUUUGAUUUCCACUGACUUUAUAACGUAAAUCUCAUUAUAUUAGUGUUUUAGUUGUUAAAACUAACUGUUUUUCAACUCAAAUUGUUUUUUUUUCUCGUUCUGGAGUGUAAAUAGUUGUAAUGAAAUAUUUGUUGCAAAAUAAGGCAAACAACCUGCAUAAUUGAAAUGUAGUAUGACUUGGAAAUGAUGAAUUAUAUCAGGAAUGAAAGUAUAAUCAAGGAACAAUCAAUCUGAAAACAAUAUCAGCAUUUAUUUUCAAAUUUUCAUCAACUUCAACAGAAAAUCUAUAAAUUUACAACAAUGUAGACUAACUAAAAUAAGAAAAUCACUACUAUGAUAAAAACUAUAAAUAUUUCCUAAUAAAUGAAAUAAAUAACUCUCUUCACAUUUUUUUUCUUUGAAAACAAAGCAACAAUAUCAAUUCAAAUAGAAUAAUUACUAGAAUAAUCCAAAAAUGUUAAUGUUUCUAUAUCUAUAGUUAUCAUAGUAUUGUAAAUAAUCUAACCUAAAAAUAAUUUACAUUUUUCAUCGAAUUAAAAUUCUCAAAGAAAUUAGAAAAUAACUCGGAAGCUUUAUUGGAAAGACUAGUAGACAAGUUUAGUAAAGUAGAAAAGUGAUGUUAAUAGGUAAUUUAUGAAAGAAUUUUUCAUUUUUUGUUGAUAUACAUUCAACAUUAAUAAUUGAAUGUUUGCGGAACAACUUCAAAUUUUAUUUUAUUUUCACAGUACAUUUGUAGUUAACAUUUUUGAUGAAAUAAAUAUUCAAAUUUGAAAUCAUUGGUCUCAAUUUCUCCUCUUCAAAACUCUUAGGAUAAAACUCAGAACUUUAUUUACAAAACACUUAUAAGUAAUAAGUUAUAAUUGGGUACUUAAAGCCAAUUUUAGAUCAAACAAUGUGAAGCAGUGAAAUACAUUAGAUCUACUGCAAAACUCAUUAAUAAAUUCUCUCCAUUCAAGUAAAUGAUUGAUCAAGAAAAUGAGAU